GCCCCAGGAAACUCCUCAAACAGUCGGUGAACAGCUUCCAAAGAUCUAAUUUCCCCAAGACGGUCUCUUGCUCCAAGCAAGAAUCCAUAAAUGGCAGAUAUAACAGUGUAGAAGAUAUGAAUAUCCAAAAGAUAGAUACAGAUAACUGGAGCCCAUAAACUUGCAACUGUCAAGGCAUUAUGAUUAUUUUUAGAUACAAGAUCAUGCCACGAAUACACUAGAUUAUCCGUCAUCCCCACAAUAAUCUGUGUUGGUUCCACCAAUGGCUUGAUCAGGAGAAAGUAUGCAAAUGCGAACUUAGCACUCAAAACAAUAAGCCAGAACAACAUAUACUUCAAAAAAUCACUGGUCCUUUCAUACAUGCCACGCCCAACAUAGUACCGUUCCUGACGCAUCCACUUUAAGAAGCGAAUU
Molecule: unclassified non-coding RNA, 414 nt
Filed under: Hevea brasiliensis (rubber tree)
Lineage: Eukaryota; Viridiplantae; Streptophyta; Magnoliopsida; Malpighiales; Euphorbiaceae
Source: RNAcentral